This 73-nucleotide transfer RNA is filed under the name Myotis lucifugus (little brown bat). It matches the Rfam family "tRNA". Rfam says of the family: Transfer RNA (tRNA) molecules are approximately 80 nucleotides in length. Their secondary structure includes four short double-helical elements and three loops (D, anti-codon, and T loops). The record is from Rfam by way of RNAcentral. Lineage: Eukaryota; Metazoa; Chordata; Mammalia; Chiroptera; Vespertilionidae.
GCUGUGGUGGCUUAGUGGACUGAGCAUCAUCCCAUGGACCAAGAGGUCCUGGGUUCAAUUCCCAGUCAGGGCA